GUGUUUAUGUAAAGGAUACUCUGAUGAGUGAGGUGUAAGGUGUGAGUAGGUGUUUGGUGUAAGUAUGUGUUUAUGUAAAGGAUACUCUGAUGAGUGAGGUGUAAGGUGUGAGCAGGUGUUUGGUGUAAGUAUGUGUUUAUGUAAAGGAUACUCUGAUGAGUGAGAUGUAAGGUGUGAGUAGGUGUUUGGUGUAAGUAUGUGUUUAUGUAAAGGAUACUCUGAUGAGUGAGAUGUAAGGUGUGAGUAGGUGUUUGGUGUAAGUAUGUGUUUAUGUAAAGGAUACUCUGAUGAGUGAGAUGUAAGGUGUGAGUAGGUGUUUGGUGUAAGUAUGUGUUUAUGUAAAGGAUACUCUGAUGAGUGAGGUGUAAGGUGGCUCUGCCUAAGUUCCU
Long non-coding RNA from Clupea harengus (Atlantic herring), 389 nucleotides. Lineage: Eukaryota; Metazoa; Chordata; Actinopteri; Clupeiformes; Clupeidae. The record is from Ensembl.